This 1015-nucleotide long non-coding RNA is filed under the name Marmota monax (woodchuck). The record is from RNAcentral. Lineage: Eukaryota; Metazoa; Chordata; Mammalia; Rodentia; Sciuridae.
GUACACGAUAUGGGUAUUUGACAGGGCAGAAGAACAAAGUGAGGUAUAAUUUAAAAGAUAGAAACUAUAUUUAUAUCAAUCAACAAAGUUUUAAAUCAAGUAUUAAUAUAAAGCUUUUUAAUAAUAAUAAUAAUAAUAAUAAUAAUAAUAAUAAUAAAAAUUAUUGGGCUGUGUUUUCUUUUGUUUUUAGUACCAGGUAUUGAACCCAGGAGGACUUAACCACUGAGUCACAUCCCUAACCCUUUUUAUUUAUUUAUUUAUUUAUUUUCAGACAAGGUCUCACUAAGUAGCUUAGGGCCUGGAUAAGUUGCUGAGGGUGGGCUCAAAAUUGCAUUCCUCCUGCUCAGCCUCCCAAGCUACUGGAUUACACCAUAUCUGGCUUUGUGAUUAUCAUAAAUUAAUAAUUCUCUCAUACUUAAUGACCUUUGCUAUACCAGUGCUUUCUAAUAACUCUAUUAGACUGAUUUUUAUAAUACAUUAUUUAAAAGUAAGAUUUAGGAAAAUUUUUCUGCUAGAUUUUUUUGAGGAUAUGUCCACCUUUGCUAGGUUUUUAUAUAAUAAUCAUUAAUUAUUCAAAUAUUUCUAUUAAUGUGCAUUCAUUUAUAUUAAUGUGUAUAUUCAUGUUCACAAAUUGUAUAUGUAACACAUUGUCUCAAGUUUCUUCAAGUAGCUUUUGAAAUUUUGUCAGUAAGAAGGGCAAAGAACCAAUGUAACAAUACUUUUGCAUUUUUAUAAAUCAAAUCAGGAAAAAAGUAGUUUUCUCACUAUCAGAAAUCUUUUUGGCAUUUGUUCAUCCAAAAAAUUCCCAAAGUUUGAAAGUUUUAUAAGAAGUCAGGAAAAAACAAUAAGGCAGCUAAAGGAAAACAAUAGCACCUAUUAUUAUCUUUUGUCAUAUUUAUAAUUUUAGUUGGAAAAAAUCAUGCCUCACAUCAUUAUUUGAGAAUCAAAAAUGAUUUAUUUGUGUUUCUUUAACUCAUAGUAAAUGGGAAAAUAGAAAAAUAUCUUUUGAAUAGUG